UGGGGAGUAUUGGACAAUGGGGGCAACCCUGAUCCAGCAAUGCCGCGUGGGUGAUGAAGGCCUUCGGGUUGUAAAGCCCUUUCGGCGGGGACGAUGAUGACGGUACCCGCAGAAGAAGCCCCGGCUAACUUCGUGCCAGCAGCCGCGGUAAUACGAAGGGGGCUAGCGUUGUUCGGAAUGACUGGGCGUAAAGGGCGCGUAGGCGGCCGAGUAAGUCAGGCGUGAAAGCCCCGGGCUCAACCUGGGAACGGCGCUUGAUACUGUUUGGCUUGAGGACGGGAGAGGAUGGUGGAAUUCCCAGUGUAGAGGUGAAAUUCGUAGAUAUUGGGAAGAACACCGGUGGCGAAGGCGGCCAUCUGGACCGUUUCUGACGCUGAGGCGCGAAAGCGUGGGGAGCAAACAGGAUUAGAUACCCUGGUAGUCCACGCUGUAAACGAUGUGUGCUAGACGUUGGGGGUUAAGCCUCCGGUGUCGCAGCCAACGCGUUAAGCACACCGCCUGGGGAGUACGGCCGCAAGGUUAA
Molecule: ribosomal RNA, 523 nt
Filed under: uncultured Rhodospirillales bacterium
Lineage: Bacteria; Pseudomonadati; Pseudomonadota; Alphaproteobacteria; Rhodospirillales
Description: bacterial SSU rRNA
Rfam family: Bacterial small subunit ribosomal RNA
Source: RNAcentral